UGAAGGUAGAUCUAGCAGGUGAUGGUUAUCCUGUGGUAAGACCGUAGGGUGUGUGAUAGGAAAAUCCGUUGCACAUUAAGCCCGAGAGUUUAUACAUAGCCGAUUUAGGCGAAAUGAUUGAUCCUAUGCUGCCUAGAAAAGCCUAGCAAUGAGUUAAUAUGGUGCCCGUACCCCAAACCGACACAGGUAGACAAGUAGAGAAUACUAAGGAGAGCGAGAUAACUCCGGUUAAGGAACUCGGCAAAUGCCCCCGUAACUUCGGGAUAAGGGGGGCCUCAGUAAAGUGAAGGACUUUUCGUCCGGAGCUUGAGGAGGCCGCAGCGACUAGAGCCAAGCGACUGUUUACCAAAAACACAGGUGCAUGCGGAGCCGUAAGGCGAUGUAUAUGCACUGACGCCUGCCCAAUGCUGGAAGGUCACGGGGAGAGGUUAGCGCUUGACGCGAAGCUUCGAACUUAAGCCCCAGUGAAUGGCGGCCGUAACUAUAACGGUCCUAAGGUAGCGAAAUUCCUUGUCGGGUAAGUUCCGACCUGCACGAAUGGCGUAACGACUUGGCUACUGUCUCAACCGGAGACUCGGCGAAAUUGCAAUACGAGUAAAGAUGCUCGUUUCCCGCACCAGGACGGUAAGACCCCGUGCACCUUUACUGCAACUUGAUGUUGGGUUUGGGUAUGAACUGUGUAGGAUAGCUGGGAGACUGCGAAGCAGAGGCGUCAGCUUUUGUGGAGUCAACCUUGAAAUACCAGCCUGUUCAUAUCGGAACCUCUCACCACUACCCCUAGAUCGGGGUAUGGGACAGCGUCAGGUGGGUAGUUUGACUGGGGCGGUCGCCUCCUAAAGAGUAUCGGAGGCGUCCAAAGCUAUACUCAGCCUGGUUGGCAAUCAGGCGUUGAGCGCAAAAGUAUAAGUAUGGUUGACUGCAAGACCUACAAGUCAAGCAGGGACGAAAGUCGGGUUUAGUGACCCAGCGGCAGCUUGUGGAAGCGCCGUUGAUUAACGGAUAAAAGGUACGCCGGGGAUAACAGGCUCAUUUUGCCCAAUAGUUCACAUAGACGGCAAAGUUUGGCACCUCGAUGUCGGCUCGUCGCAUCCUGGGGGUGUAGCCACUCCCAAGGGUUGGGCUGUUCGCCCAUUAAAGCGGUACGCGAGCUGGGUUCAGAACGUCGCGAGACAGUUCGGUCCCUAUCCGGUGUGGGCGUAAGAGAUUUGAGGAAAUCUGUUCCUAGUACGAGAGGACCGGAAUGGACGUGGCUCUCGUGUGACAGUUGUCCUGCCAAGGGCAUGGCUGUUUAGCGACCCACGGAAAAGAUAAACGCUGAAAGUAUCUAAGCGUGAAACUUGUUCCAAGAUGAGAUCUCUCAUGUGGUUAACACAGUAAGACCCCUUAUAGACCAUGAGGUUGAUAGGCCAGAAGUGUACGGACAGUAAUGUUCUUAGCUGACUGGUACUUAUCGGUCGAGGGCUUGAGUAU
Molecule: ribosomal RNA, 1470 nt
Filed under: metagenome
Description: bacterial LSU rRNA
Rfam family: Bacterial large subunit ribosomal RNA
Source: RNAcentral